GCGUUCAUAGCUCAGUUGGUUAGAGCACCACCUUGACAUGGUGGGGGUCGUUGGUUCGAGUCCAUUGAACGCACCA
Molecule: transfer RNA, 76 nt
Filed under: Salmonella enterica subsp. enterica serovar Typhimurium
Lineage: Bacteria; Pseudomonadati; Pseudomonadota; Gammaproteobacteria; Enterobacterales; Enterobacteriaceae
Also listed under: 1 other name
Description: tRNA-Val
Rfam family: tRNA
About the family: Transfer RNA (tRNA) molecules are approximately 80 nucleotides in length. Their secondary structure includes four short double-helical elements and three loops (D, anti-codon, and T loops).
Source: RNAcentral